Gadus morhua (Atlantic cod) is the source of this 2033-nucleotide long non-coding RNA. NCBI's taxonomy places the organism in Eukaryota, Metazoa, Chordata, Actinopteri, Gadiformes, Gadidae. The record is from Ensembl.
CAUGGGUUGUAGUCUGCAUGUUUUUAUCUAUCUCACUAUUCCCUGUGGUCACCAGAUAAUGGGUGACAGAACUGGCUUUCAGAUGUAAACAUUGCUUUGUUUCCAAGGCAACUCUGAGCUGUGUGAAAACACGCCAUCAUGUGACCACCAGCCACUCCAGAGUGUUUACAAAUGAACCAGGAACCAAAAUGUUCUUGUGUGUCCUCUCUCCUGCACAGACACGUCCUGUUCCUCUAUAUCAAAGCAUCUCAGCCCUGACCAAUCGUGGCACACAGAGGCACAGAGGAAACCAACAGAGCCGGAAAUGUGUCGAGAAGAACAGACGGAUCCGGUUCAGCACACCGAGUCCUGUCUAUUCCAGGUGGAGAAAGGUACCAGUUGGAGCCCACCUGGCUCUUGUUCCAACAUCGCCUCCAAGCAGCUCCUGAUCCCUAGUUUGAAUGUUUCAUUACUCAUCUAACGUUCUGGCCUAUACUUAUUUCACAGGUGUGUGAUCAACACUGGUGACUGACUCUCUGUCAGUCAGUCAGUCAGUCAGUCAGUCAGUCAGACAGACAGACAGACAGACAGACAGACACUCUAUUAUUGUUAGUAUUAUAGCCCUGUUUUUGGUGUGUGCAUAUUUUACUGGCAUUUGCAAUGCCGCUAAAAAAAAGAAGUAAGAAGUAAAAGUAACUCAGUUCAAUAAACCUACAGGAAAAUACCUGAUUGUAAUAUUUCAGAAAUUGUUGUAAAUAAAGAAAAGGAGACCAUCUUCAAGAGUAAGAGGAGCCAUCUGUUUUGUUUGGUCAGUGAAUAGGGGGUGUUUUCAAAUGGUCUUUCCAUGCAAUGGAAGGUGCAAGCCAGCCAACCCUGGAAUGAUAUCGGCCUCUUUUGGCACCUAUUGCACAAACAUCCCUGGAGGGAUCCCUCGCUUCCCCUUUCCAGUCUUCCAUCUUCUAUAACCAUGGUCUUUACUAGCCCCAAAGAGGGCAUAUUUGAAGCCCUUUGGAGGCUAACUGACUCAGGACUAUUCUCACACAAAUCCGACUUUAGAAGUUAAAGUAUGAUAGACAAACUUAAUACUGGACAAAGGGGCCGUUUCACUUUCGUGCUUAUUUGUUUCAACCAAUAAUGAUGCUGCAGGUGGGGAUCUGUAAUCGCAGAGAGUUGGUAUGACAAAGAUGAAUCACUAACUAGUCAUCAAAGCUUUUCUGGCGGGAAGACAAGCUUAAACCUCCUAGAUCCAAACAUCACAAGUGUCUGGAAACGUUUUAAAUCAACACCCUCUAGACUUGUCACUGUAUAAAUCCCCUUAUCAAAAUCCCCUAAAGCUCAGUCAGCUUGCACAUGCUUUCUCUUCCACAAAGUGUCUUCAUAAUGAAAAUUGACACAAGGGCCAUCUGUGCUGGAUAGAGGAGCAACGUUUAUUUCAGUCCACUGGGUAGGCUGGUAGACUGAUCUAUCCAGCACACAUCUAGGUGGACACGCCCACUAGUGAUGUAAUAUGGGGCCGAUUUUCGAAACGGCUUGUAAAGCUAAUCUCACUCACACCUGGGGGCAUCAUAUGUCCCCUUUAAAGUUAGUACAGAUAAUCUUCGGUAUUUUUAGACAUCUAGAAGAGUUUGUAUCAUUAUUACACUGCAUAGGUGAGGCCCCAGAGGUGGGUUUGUUUUCUAACUUGCCUGUUGGGGAUCCCUAGCAGUAGGCUAGGCUAAUCAACACGGUUACCAAGUCUUUGAAUCAAUGAUUUAAGUCUCACUUAUCAGCCAAUGCUUGGACAUAUAUAGCGAUACAGCUAAGCUAACGUAUUAGUGAUUAGUUGCGGUGGCAAAAGAGGACGAAAUAACCGAGAGAAACCAUACGUGCCUAGCAGUCCUAGCUCCACAUUUGUGUUGCAGUUGUUGAAACGACUUUUUCCAGAUCAAUAACAACCAAAUCCUUCAUAUGUUACAAAAAAAACAUCGAUCUACUGUGUAUGUGCUUAAGAAUGGCAAAUGAGGGUGCAUUUGGAAUCAACCAAUCAGGGCACGCUCGAACUCCUGAAUAUUCAU